AUUAAGGUGUUGUCGCGAACACAAAAUACAGUUGACGCAGUCUACAUCAAUUUGUUACAGAUCAAUUUGUUACAGAAUCUUCAAAAUGUAAUAAUCUGUCACCAUCCCCCGACAUUGUAUUGGUAAGUCUAAUUUUGCAUUUAACUCGCUCACAAAUCAGCUCAACAGGUAGAGCAGGUGGACGUCUUGAUAGCUCAAGUCUUGUCUUGACCACAACCAUAGACUAUUUAUGUUGCGUGCUAGUGAGGACAGUGCAUCUGUUAUGUUUGUGCUUGCGUGGUAGUGAGGACCAGGCUUCAUAGGUAGAGCAGUCGACUACAUUCUCAAUGUUUGAGAAUUCCAAUCUUGCGUAUUUAUACCGCGGACACGAUAGUGAGACAGAUAGAACACAAGAAUUCACCAGCAAUCUCUGUAGUGUAGACUUGAGGGGAGACUGUAUGGUUGAAGGUUGAAAGCUCAAACCACAUUUUGGGCGAUGAAUCUAGACUACUAGAGGAUAUUUUCAACUUUUGUGUGUUUAUAAUGAGCACGAUCUCAGCUGUUAAUUGCUCAGCAUACUUGACGCGCCUCAGUAGGCAGAACAGCGAGAUUAUUUCAACAGAAGGCAGCUUUUCAUCUGUACUCGAAUUUUCAUCUACGUAAAUAGUAAAAUUACCUUGAGAUGAAUUUGAAAAAUCAAAAGAACCGUAUAACCGUACGAGUAUGUACUGUGUUCGCAAAAACACAUAAAUUAUUAUCAUAUUUAUUGCUAUUGUAAAUCUACACGCUAUGCGAGCUCUAUUGCUUAAUAAAUCAUUUUGCGCAAUUAUUGCAUUAAAGCAGUACAAUAAGUAGUUUGAAAGAUCUAUUUGAAAGAUCUCUGCCAGGGUAGGCUGGAAAAUACAAGGAAAACUUCAACGUUUCGACUGGAAGUUAGUGGCCACUCGACUACUAACUUCGCGACGGAAGGGGCGUAGAUAAAAGGCGGGCACGGAAUGGCGGACCCGGACCGGCGGACGCGGACAAGAAAAUUUAUUUUUUUUAAUUAUUGAAAAUAAUUUUAAAAAAUAAAUAAAUAUAAUAUUAUUAAACGUUCGAAACGUAUCCCUAUCAAUCCGAAGCUUUCUUCUAUUUUGAAAACUGUCACUGGUCUAGUUUAAAUAAAAAAACAAAAACAAAUAAAGUUACAAAAUGUGAAUGCACAUGAUGAAGUCUGUUUAGUGAAACGAAUAAUUCAAAAAAUUUCUUAAAUUACUGGAAAUUAAUGAUGUAUAUUUCCGGAAAAAAGGUUUCAAGUACUUUAGCCAUAUUGCACAUAGAGUUCUAGUCCAGUGUAGGUAGCAAUCAACACUAUGUGAUUGGCUUAUCUGGAUUUAACUUUCAGCUUUACUGUUGUAUAAAACAAUCAGAAAUGUGUCUAGUGCAGGAAUCAUAGCUGGCCACAUCCAUAAUUUAACAACAGUUGUUUCGUAUUCCCAGGCGUUCAAUAAUGGCACACAGCUACCAGCAAGGUUAUGAUGAAAGACGUUUUGAAGGUCAAGUAAGAGAAGAUCUGUUCUGCUCUAUUUGUCACGAGGUGCUCAGAGACCCACGAACUUGCCAGAACAGAGAACAUCCAUUUUGUCUUUCUUGCAUAACUCAACAUCUUCGUAAUUCCCACACAUGUCCUGAAUGCAGAGAGGAUCUGGCCCCAGAAACCUUAAAAAAUCCGAGAUUCUUGAAGAAUAUUCUAUCAGAGCUGAAAAUCAAGUGUGAGUACACUGAGCGAGGCUGCCCAGGCUACGUCCAGCUUGGAAAUUUACAGAAUCAUGUUGAGCGAUGUGGCUUUGCGCCUGUUAUGUGUGGAAAUGAAGAAUGUGGGACGGUGGUCAAUAAAAAAGAUAAAGAAAUGCAUGAGAGAGAACUCUGCCAGUUUAGAAUCCCCAAGUGCCACGACUGCAGAGAUAUUAAAGUAAGUAAAAAAAAUUUCGAGCUCUGAAAAAUAUGGCAGCUCCAGAAAUAUGUGAUAUCUAGAGUAUGCCUGCCCCGUGUGGCAUUUUUCAUUGCCUGUAUUUUUGUGCGACCAAAUUGAACAAAUUCAACGCCGGGCUCUGAAAAUUAUCUAUCCUGAUUUAUCGUAUAAAGACGGUUUGAACGAACUCAAUCUGCCCACUCUUGUUGAUCGGAGGGUUUCCUUGUGUGAACGGUUUUACGAGAACAGUUUUGGCACUACAAGUAAAACUUCUGACCUUUUACCUAGAAAGAAAUCUUAUUCAUAUAACCUUAGAAAUGCUAGAAACAUUCCACUUUUUAAAACACGUACAAGUAGAUUUUAUGACAGUUUUUUACCAACCUGCGUACGGAAAUGGGACUUGCCUUGAACUAUUCCAAUUUAAUAACUUAACACAAUAAUGCAUAAAUUUGUAUUGUACAUAUAUUUUUAUAUAUUCUAAUCUAACUAUUUUAUUUUAAUAUUUGUUACUUGAGUUUUUCAGUUUCUUUGUAAACUGCCAUUCAAGUUUUUAAUAAAUUCAAUUCAAUUCAAAAAAUAUGUUUGCUAAGAGAAAUGAAGUGAGAACUAUUUAGAGAAUAGACCCAUUGCACUGACGUCACAAAUCCUUAGAGUGUCCUCCAGAUGCUGCCUAACAAUAUCUGCUCGGGUACAAAAUUUUCUUUGUUUACAAAAGUUAUACCAUCCGUAGAUUGCUAAUUUAUCCUUUAGAUGCAUCGUCACCGGUGCUGUGACGUCAUGUGCAAUGGGUCUAUUGCAACUACAACUGACACACAUCUUCCAAGAAUUAGAACUGAGAAGACUAAAUGAGAAACAACGUAUAGUGGACCGUACGUUUUAACUCGCUACCAAAUCACACUAUACAUCGGUUUCGGUAAUUUUUGCGAAGGAAAAACAUUUUCUUAGAGAUGAAUGAUCAGAGGUUGACCACCUUACAAAAUAUAUCACUCGGUGUAAUUAUGUGAUACCGUAUAAUCAAUAGUUUUGAUUAUAAUAAUUAUUAAUAAUAACAAGUAUAAUUCAGGAAAAUGUUGACGAGAUGAAAGUAAGACAAAAUGAAAUGAUAGCUAGUCAAGUUGGAAUGGAAAGAAAACAAGAUGAAAUUAAGGUUAGACAAGUUUUUGUUCUUUGUAUGUUUGCAAUUUUGAAAAGUUUGUGAAAAUCUGCAGUUUGUGAAUAGUGGCAUCUCCAAGACUACCCGCAGCCUAGUCAGUGACGUUUAUAUUUUACAAUUCAGGAACAUGUCGACGAGAUAAAGGUAGAAUUGAGCAAAACAAAAGUGGAAAUGGAAAGAAAGCAGGAUGAAAUCAAUGACAAAGUAAAUCAAAUGAAGGUAAGGCAAGAUUGUGUUUAAUUUUCUGUAAGUUCCUUUGCAAUAAAAAUGCCACUUUUUAAUUUGCAAAUUAAAAUCUUUUCCGGAUGUUUAUUGAUAUAAAUAUUGUUUAAUAUAAACUUUUAAUCCAGGCCAACAUAUUGAACACUUCGCCAAUUAAAUAAACUAAUUAUGGUGAAUAGCUUCUCAAAAUGUACACUAUGUCGUCGCUGAUAUAUUUUAAUAUAACAACAGAGUCACAGAAAUUUUUAAUUUUAUAAUCCAGGAGAAUGUUGACGAGAUAAAGCAAACUCAAGCAGAAAUGAAAGCAGAUCAAGUGAUGUUUAAAGCUGAGGUAAGCCAGCAGUUUCAAAGGAUGACAGAGAUGUUAAAUCAGUUGUUGCAAGGAAAAAAUGUAAACAACAAUGGUUCUCAAGCUAUAGAUCCAGCAGCUCCUGCCAACAACCAAGAUAUUAUUAUUCUUGGCGGUCGGUGUGGCGAAGGAAAUGACAACAUAUUAAAUACAGUUGAAAAAUACAACAUAGCAGAAGGAAGGUCGACUGAGCUGCCACCGAUAAAUCUCGCUCGAAUAGAUUCAGCAUCAUGUGUUCACAACGGUGACGUCAUCGUGACUGGAGGAUACGAUGGUCAAGCUGGUACUGACUUGAUCGAGAUUUUAAAGAUGAACCAGCAUCCUUUGCGAUGGACGAUGUUUAAUGGUAAACUGCCCGCCAAGUUAGCUGCUCAUGACGUCACAGUUUACCAAGAUAAAUUAUAUAUCAUAGGAGGAUAUAGCUGGAAUGAAAUGAAAACAUCCGAUGCAAUUUAUGAACUAUCCCUUGCACCGCCUUAUACUGUCAAGCUUCUCGCACGAAUGCCUCAGCCAAGGGCAAACCACAGAGCGGAGAUUGUUAACGAGAAGCUAUUUAUCUUGGGAGGAUCGACAACAGUAACGAGUAAAGAUACCACAUAUAGUGUUGUUGUGUAUGAUUUCAUCAAGAACGAGAUUAAGCCAUGUGCAUCGUUACUCGAGCCUGUCUCAGCAAUGUCCACAGUUACUUGGGGCAAUAUAAUCAUUGUUGUCGGCGGGCUGGAUAAGAAUGAUCAGGUUUUAAAUGACGUCAUCAUGUAUCACAUUGAAACUGGGCGAAGUGAAAGAUUACCUUCACUGAAACACAAGAGGCGUGCUCCCUCUGCUGUAAUCAUGCAUGACAUCAUUGUUGUAUUGGGAGGAUGGAAUAAGGAAGAGGGAUUUCUCAACUCAGUAGAAAGUUUCACAAUGGGAGAUGAUCAGUGGAAAGAACUGCCAGGAAUGAGAGAAAAAAAGGUUUGGGCAAAUGCUGUAGUGACACCUGGCAACUGAAAGGUUUUCUAUAAACUAUUUAUUCGCCUCUUGCAUAAAUAACACUUUGCCCCGUGCGGAUAAACAUGAAGGAAGUCUGAUAGUCAAAAGGAACAGUAAAAGUAAAAUAACAUUAACUGAAAAGUGAACGUAACUACAAAACACCCUGAUAACAUUAAUUUAAACGAUCUGUUUACAUGACCCCACAAGACGUCUCGCGCCUGCUAUCAUCUCCCCUCCGAGUAAUUUUAUUAUAAAAAUUUACAUGGCGGCAUAGGAGAAGCCGAGACCAUAGGUAGGCGGGAUGAAAAAAUGUUCCAUAUGACACGCCAGCCCGCUUACCGGGAUGAGGUCAAGAAACCGAAUAAUUUUUACUGAGCGUCAUAUUUGUUUCGUAUGAAAGUGUUAAAUCUGUUGCUGAAGCAAUGCUUUUCCUUGCAAAAAAAAACCCCGAUGAAAAACACCAAAAUCGUUACAACGUUUGUGUUGUAUGACUAAAAUGUACGAGUUUUGCAGGCGCUAAUUGAUAUAGAGCUACAUUGUAAUUUCAUCUUGAAAACACGAAAAUGUUCGUCCUACGACGUCAGUUAUGGUUAUUUUAUGGUCAAGUCUCCGUCAAUGUUAUUUAUUCCCUUUCAUUUGCAUAUUUAGUAUCUAGACGACAUGAUAUUAUAACCAAUGACCUGUACUUUGGUUAACAUCAUUGGUGAUAUAUCCUCAUGCUUAUGCUCGCGACGCCAAUCAAAACACUAUCCCUAUUGUGCGCAAACCACGAGGAUGUUAACACUAAAUAAAACAAACAUACCACACCGUGCAAAGGAUUAUGGUAUGUUUAAGAUGUUUGAAGCCAAAGCAGGAUUAUUCAUAUCGAGUUUAAAUAUUUGUCCAAUCUACGAGCUUUUGAGUGCCAGUCUGUAGCGAAACCUGCCCAUUGAAGACUGCAGACUAGCAGUCGAAUGCUCGUAGAUUUAGUAUUUUAAACCAGAGUUUACCUAUGCUACAUUGCUGCGAAAAAUCUUUGUUCAAAUAUAUGUAUGAUAUGGCAAGUUCAUAUCCAUAAUUAACGGAUUAUUCGUUGAUAACUUGAGGAAGAUAGCAAAAUUGUCUUGCAUGCCAUAUGACAGUUUAAUGUCUGUUUAAAAUAUCAUACUUAUGUUUAAAUGAAUAUUAAUAAUUUUAUUUUAGAUAUAAUCCUGUAUAAUGAUUAAUGAAUAAUUGUGUAAAUAUUCUACAUUUAACAUAUCUUGUGUUGAAAGAAACAUUUGAUCUGGACAGAAACAUUAGUAAUUAGUGAAACAUUGAAUUAAUUUGAAUUACUAUGACAUGUAAACUAUAUUGUAAAUAAAG
This is a non-coding RNA of Paramuricea clavata, 5970 nucleotides long. Lineage: Eukaryota; Metazoa; Cnidaria; Anthozoa; Malacalcyonacea; Plexauridae. The record is from the annotation of a GenBank genome assembly.